UACGGAGGGUGCGAGCGUUGUCCGGAAUCACUGGGCGUAAAGGGCGCGUAGGUGGCCGAGCAAGGUCGCGGUGAAAGCCCGGGGCUCAACCCCGGGUCGGCCGUGGCAACUACUGGGCUGGAGCACUGUAGGGGCGGGUGGAAUUCCGGGUGUAGCGGUGGAAUGCGUAGAGAUCCGGAAGAACACCGGUGGCGAAGGCGGCCCGCUGGGCAGUUGCUGACACUGAUGAGCGAAAGCCAGGGGAGCAAACGGG
RNAcentral lists this ribosomal RNA (253 nucleotides) under uncultured bacterium. Its description in RNAcentral is "partial 16S ribosomal RNA". It matches the Rfam family "Bacterial small subunit ribosomal RNA", at positions 524 to 776 of the family's 1533-position model. The record is from RNAcentral.